UGUCCCUGCCAGUUACUAAAUAACAUUCUGGCUGAAGUUUCCAUGGAAUGUACUCAGAACUAUUAGGUAGCAUGCUCAAGCCAUGGAUGGCUUUCAUAGACUGGACAUUAGUGAACUUGGGGCCCAGAAUGGAAAUAAUGAGAAAAGAGAAGACUUCAGUGUGAUAAGUGUGAUAAGACAGGAGGAGCUACUAGAGGUUUAAGCAGAGGUACGAAAGGCCACAUCUGAAGGUUUAAAGGAUCAGACUGGUGACCAAACGGAACUUUGGAAGGUCCUUGAAGGAUGACUGAUUCCACCUGAGCCUUGGAUACUUCUCAACAUUGCAACUCUGGUCCUUCUGUCCUCAGUCCCUCAAGGCCAGCGUGCUCCUCCCAGCUGCUCACCUGCAGGUUCAAUACUGCCUCUUCAUACAUGGUACACAUCCUCACCACUGACUCUUUGUUCCGUGAUUCAUCAUAUCAUAUUGGAUCAUUUCCUUCAACCACAUUACCUUGGAUUUUAAGUAGAUGUGCAAGUUGAGCUGUGGCCGUGGGACAUCUUGCCCCACUCAUGGCCUAUGGGUUGCUGAGACCACGGCAGAGAAUCAGUUGCACAGAAGCAACUUCACGUUCCUCUGAGGAAGAUCCAGGUGCCGUGGCACAAGGAAUAUAAGUCAGCGACACACCGCACAAAACUGCACGUGAGGUUACCAAAUACAACCUUCACCAAAGAAAUCUAGUGUUGGAAGCACUUUUAAAAUGGCUUCCGUUUUUAGAUUGGAGUUAAGACAGUCAAGCUAUCACGUGCUUUGCAGGUACACCACAGCUAUCUAUUAAUCCCAGGCUUAUUAAGCAGACGAGUUGUCUAGAGGGGGAAAUAGCAA
This is a long non-coding RNA of Fukomys damarensis (Damara mole-rat), 862 nucleotides long. RefSeq lists it as uncharacterized. The transcript is spliced from 5 exons. The record is from RefSeq and is a predicted model, not a curated record. Lineage: Eukaryota; Metazoa; Chordata; Mammalia; Rodentia; Bathyergidae.